RNAcentral lists this ribosomal RNA (403 nucleotides) under Actinomycetes bacterium. RNAcentral describes it as "Actinobacteria bacterium partial 16S ribosomal RNA". It matches the Rfam family "Bacterial small subunit ribosomal RNA", at positions 355 to 776 of the family's 1533-position model. Lineage: Bacteria; Bacillati; Actinomycetota; Actinomycetes. The record is from RNAcentral.
AGGGGAAUAUUGCACAAUGGGGGAAACCCUGAUGCAGCGACGCCGCGUGAACGAAGAAGGUAUUCGUAUCGUAAAGUUCUGUCCUAUGGGAAGAUAAUGACAGUACCAUAGAAGAAAGCUCCGGCUAAAGACGUGCCAGCAGCCGCGGUAAUACGUAUGGAGCGAGCGUUGUCCGGAAUUAUUGGGCGUAAAGGGUACGCAGGCGGUUUAAUAAGUCGAAUGUUAAAGAUCGGGGCUCAACCCCGUAAAGCAUUGGAAACUGAUAAACUUGAGUAGUGGAGAGGAAAGUGGAAUUCCUCGUGUAGUGGUGAAAUACGUAGAUAUUAGGAGGAAUACCAGUAGCGAAGGCGACUUUCUGGACACAAACUGACGCUGAGGUACGAAAGCGUGGGGAGCAAACAGG